RNAcentral lists this ribosomal RNA (696 nucleotides) under uncultured bacterium. RNAcentral's name for it is "bacterial SSU rRNA". It matches the Rfam family "Bacterial small subunit ribosomal RNA", at positions 108 to 823 of the family's 1533-position model. The record is from RNAcentral.
GAGUAACGCGUGGGUAACCUGGCCCAUACAGGGGGAUAACACUUAGAAAUAGGUACUAAUACCGCAUAACAACAGAAAGCGCAUGCUUUUUGUUUGAAAACCAAGGUGGUAUGGGAUGGACCCGCGUCUGAUUAGCUGGUUGGCGGGGUAAAGGCCCACCAAGGCGACGAUCAGUAGCCGGCCUGAGAGGGUGGACGGCCGCAUUGGGACUGAGACACGGCCCAAACUCCUACGGGAGGCAGCAGUGGGGAAUAUUGCACAAUGGGGGAAACCCUGAUGCAGCGACGCCGCGUGAGUGAAGAAGUAAUUCGUUAUGUAAAGCUCUAUCAGCAGGGAAGAAAAUGACGGUACCUGAGUAAGAAGCCCCGGCUAACUACGUGCCAGCAGCCGCGGUAAUACGUAGGGGGCAAGCGUUAUCCGGAUUUACUGGGUGUAAAGGGAGCGUAGACGGCAGUGUAAGUCUGGAGUGAAAGGCGGGGGCUCAACCCCCGGACUGCUCUGGAAACUGUACGGCUGGAGUGCAGGAGAGGUAAGUGGAAUUCCUAGUGUAGCGGUGAAAUGCGUAGAUAUUAGGAGGAACACCAGUGGCGAAGGCGGCUUACUGGACUGUAACUGACGUUGAGGCUCGAAAGCGUGGGGAGCAAACAGGAUUAGAUACCCUGGUAGUCCACGCCGUAAACGAUGAUCACUAGGUGU